CAGUUAAAAAGCUCGUAGUUG
Molecule: non-coding RNA, 21 nt
Filed under: Arabidopsis thaliana (thale cress)
Lineage: Eukaryota; Viridiplantae; Streptophyta; Magnoliopsida; Brassicales; Brassicaceae
Source: RNAcentral